Anguilla anguilla (European eel) is the source of this 2619-nucleotide long non-coding RNA. RefSeq lists it as uncharacterized. The record is from RefSeq and is a predicted model, not a curated record. The transcript has 3 exons. Lineage: Eukaryota; Metazoa; Chordata; Actinopteri; Anguilliformes; Anguillidae.
AGUAAACUGUUCAAUGUUCAGUCAACUCUUUCAGAGUACAUAUGACCCUGGAUGUUUUACUGUGUACAACACGAAGAGACACACGCCCACUUUACACAGUCAGUCGCACAUACACACAUACCGCACACUGUGUGGAAUAACAAGCUCUUGCCGCUUCCCUGGGAUACCCAAAUUGCCCACAACUCUGUAUUGUUAGGGAAAUUCUCCAGUACGCACAGAGAGCGAGUUCAUUUGCAAGUGUGUAGGUGUGUAAAAAACACUCAGUCCUCCUGACGUUCCUGUGGUUUGCCUGAUGCUGUUAACGGUGAAAUGUUGUCAUGAAUGGACGUGCUCAAAGGGAAUACCUGCCUCCAGUUUUAACUGCCAAAUGGCCAAUGGAAAACGUGACUAUAGAUUUUUGAAUGGAAUGCUCUGCAAUGCGGCCAACUCUCGUCUCCAUACACAUAGACGGCGAUGUUCCGAAGAAAUCAAUCAAGCUUUGGACAGCAAAUAAAAGUUCCGCAUAGAAACGGCAUCGCUUCCAAAUUUCCCCUACAUCGCCAAGGGAGACAAAAUGCAAGCUAUCCUUCUUCUGGGAGAACACGCCUGGGUUUCCUUUGUUGACUGAUUAUCCGAGUGUGGAACUACGUGACAGCUUCCCACAAAGGGAGAGGUUACACCUGGUACAUUCUCCGUGAAGGGGAAACGCAAAGGUGCGGUCGUAAAAUCGUAAAUCUUCUGGAGUGCGAACGUAAAGGUCCUGACGGAAAGACAAAGCGUGGGCACUUUGAAGAAGCUCCCUUACUCCCUAUCAUUCCAUCGCACAGAGAUAGGGGACAGGGACAAAGAAGAGGAGCAGGGCAAGAUGCACACAACCCAGUCAGGGCGACGUAGUUCAGCCUGGAGACACAGCCCAGAGCAGCGCAAAAACGCAGCGUGCGACAGAUCAGAACAGUCCGGAACAAUCCAAUCCAGGACCACGGAGAUCAUCACAAACCGGCUCGGAACAGGUAGGAACAGUCCAGAGUAACUGAGAACAACCGGCCCCAGCAUCCAGCCCUGAGCGAUAUAAAACAACAUGGAACGUAUCAAAACUGCUCCACAUCAAGACACAAGGACACUGAAGCUCACAGAGGCUGGUGCUAGAGCACUUCAGCAGUCUAGAGCCAGUCUCAACUAAUUAGUUUGGCACUGGCGUGUACACAGAUGAACACAGAUAGAAAUAUGCGGAAGCAAAUGCCCCCUGCCCUGAGACAGCGAAGGCGCCAUUUUGGCUCCAUCGAGCCAGUUUGUUAGGGCCUGCUUAUCACAGGUGCCUGUUUUUAUUUUGUUCAGCGUAAAACAAUCCAAAGCUUCUCAGAAGAGCAUAGCACAAUCGUGCCACCAGCAAACAGUUUCUUGCAAACCAAACCGAAAAAGAAACCGUAAAUUAGGAUGCGGAUUUUCUCCAUUGAUUGAAGAAAAUGGCGGAGUGACUGAGCUUUCACUUAUAACUCUGGGAGCAAGAGGCCCAGCGAGGUACAGCCCUGAAAAUCUACAACAGUAAAAACGGAGCCCAGAGGCUACGGCAACGGGACACGUGAGGUGCGCACACGCUCAGUUACGUAAUCGCUCGCAAAACACUCGCCGGCCAGUUUGAGGUCAUUCGCUCAUUUUGUUUGUCGGAAGCGGUUGCCAGCGGAGGUAAGUGGCUUGAAGGGGUUGUGUGGGGGAGAGGGCGGCAAAAUCGUUUGCGAGGACGUAUUUUGGACUCUCCUUUCAUAGAGCAGAAGUGUUUACCUGCCAACGUUUCAAGACGACGGGACCCGUUUGCUUCGACGGGUGGUCUGGAUGACCUCACCUCUGGUACGAAUUAGAGUUGAAUCCCCUAGAACUGCCACACGCCUCACACACUGCCAAAGGUAACACAACGCAGAUCUGGAUUCAAUCAGCAAUCAAGCUUUAUUGCACGUUUUACUCCUUAAUCUUCACAAACACAGUUUGACAAGUUCAGAAAACACUAUAAUAACCUGCAAAAACUGUGUGUCUGAAGAAAAAACACACUGAUGUUAUGCAUUUAUACAUACAUUUAACUGUGCGUCAAAGUAAGAGAAAUCCAGGAUGUCAAAAUCCAGUCCUGAGAUAAAACCAAAUAUUAAACCAACUAGCAAAAUAUUCUAUGGGGUUUCAAUAAGAUUUAGAGGAAAAGAAUGUUAAAUUUGGCACUUCACAGAAAAGGAAUCCGGACUGCAACUGCACCCUGUUUCAAAAUAAACCCCUGACUUCCUCAAAAGAGCCAGGAGAACCCACAACAAGAAGCACACCUCAAUAUAUCAUUGGCAUUGUAAAAAGUGUGCCUCCCUUUUUCCAUUUUUGAGUUUGAUACAUGAAGAUUAUAUUAUCAGUUGUACACAAAUCACCACGUGACUAAAAAUGUCGUGAUAUACCAUCUAUUUCUGAUGAUAUUAACUUAGGUAUGUAAUAUAGUUAUUUAAAAAACAUGUAUUUAUAUGUAAUGUUUUUUAUUUAAAAUGUGUUGCAUAAUACAACACCUAAAAUACAGAUAUCAAAAUAUUGUAACUUAUCAUACACCAUUACUGUACAUUUUCCUUUCUUUUACCAAAUAUUUUCUGAGCUCUUUUGUAAUCAUGAAACAGCACU